Molecule: long non-coding RNA, 688 nt
Organism: Zingiber officinale
Lineage: Eukaryota; Viridiplantae; Streptophyta; Magnoliopsida; Zingiberales; Zingiberaceae
Exons: 3
Source: RefSeq, a predicted model, not a curated record
AGUGAGUGGAUUUCUGAGCUCGACGAGGCCCUUUGACCUUCCGCUGCUGCUUCUUUGGCUUGCAGAAUCUUUUGAUCGAGCGAGCUGUAUUUCUUUGCCAAAGCCUUCAUAAGGCAGCGGGCGAAGGAAGGAAUUAAGGGCUUCAUCGGAUGAGCAGAGGUUCUAUGACAACAGCGAGAAUGGCAGAGGAGAUUAGCAGGGGUGUUGCUAUGGAGUCUUUUUUGUCAACGGCGGCAUCAAAGAGGUGGACGUGGGCGUCGAAGCUCCGGUGGAUCCCAACCUCCAUCGAUCUCAUCAUCGUGGCCGAGAAGCGCCUCCUGUCCUUCGUCAAGUCGUGAAGGAAGUCGUCUUGGAUAUCAGCGAUGGUGCGCCCUCUGAUACUCUCCCUGGCUUUGCCCUCUAUGACUGGGUGAGUCUCAGCAUCCAGUCUCACGCCAUCCAGUUGAUCUGGAAUAUCUUCUCUGCUGCAUCUUUGUUUUAUUUUUGUUUUUCUUAUUUGUACAUCUCUAAUUGUUUCAGUAAGCAUUGCACAUGAGUAUGAAAAUUGAUUAGUGAGUACUUGGUCAUACUUUGGGAAUAGCCAUUGGUUAUUAUCUUUAAUGUUGGUCACUAGAUUCAAAUAAUAUUGCCUGAACUAGUCACAGUAUAUUGAAUGGAAGUGGGUCAUUACCAUUGUACAUGUACUUUC